Molecule: ribosomal RNA, 1346 nt
Filed under: uncultured bacterium
Lineage: Bacteria
Description: partial 16S ribosomal RNA
Rfam family: Bacterial small subunit ribosomal RNA
Source: RNAcentral
GACGAACGCUGGCGGCGUGCUUAACACAUGCAAGUCGAACGGAAAGGCCCUGCUUUUGUGGGGUGCUCGAGUGGCGAACGGGUGAGUAACACGUGAGUAACCUGCCCUUGACUUUGGGAUGACUUCAGGAAACUGGGGCUAAUACCGGAUAGGAGCUCCUGCUGCAUGGUGGGGGUUGGAAAGUUUCGGCGGUUGGGGAUGGACUCGCGGCUUAUCAGCUUGUUGGUGGGGUAGUGGCUUACCAAGGCUUUGACGGGUAGCCGGCCUGAGAGGGUGACCGGCCACAUUGGGACUGAGAUACGGCCCAGACUCCUACGGGAGGCAGCAGUGGGGAAUAUUGCACAAUGGGCGGAAGCCUGAUGCAGCAACGCCGCGUGCGGGAUGACGGCCUUCGGGUUGUAAACCGCUUUCGCCUGUGACGAAGCGUGAGUGACGGUAAUGGGUAAAGAAGCACCGGCUAACUACGUGCCAGCAGCCGCGGUGAUACGUAGGGUGCGAGCGUUGUCCGGAUUUAUUGGGCGUAAAGGGCUCGUAGGUGGUUGAUCGCGUCGGAAGUGUAAUCUUGGGGCUUAACCCUGAGCGUGCUUUCGAUACGGGUUGACUUGAGGAAGGUAGGGGAGAAUGGAAUUCCUGGUGGAGCGGUGGAAUGCGCAGAUAUCAGGAGGAACACCAGUGGCGAAGGCGGUUCUCUGGGCCUUUCCUGACGCUGAGGAGCGAAAGCGUGGGGAGCGAACAGGCUUAGAUACCCUGGUAGUCCACGCUGUAAACGGUGGGUACUAGGCGUGGGGUCCAUUCCACGGGUUCCGUGCCGUAGCUAACGCUUUAAGUACCCCGCCUGGGGAGUACGGCCGCAAGGCUAAAACUCAAAGGAAUUGACGGGGCCCCGCACAAGCGGCGGAGCAUGCGGAUUAAUUCGAUGCAACGCGUAGAACCUUACCUGGGUUUGACAUGGAUCGGGAGUGCUCAGAGAUGGGUGUGCCUCUUUUGGGGUCGGUUCACAGGUGGUGCAUGGCUGUCGUCAGCUCGUGUCGUGAGAUGUUGGGUUAAGUCCCGCAACGAGCGCAACCCUUGUUCACUGUUGCCAGCACGUUAUGGUGGGGACUCAGUGGAGACCGCCGGGGUCAACUCGGAGGAAGGUGGGGAUGACGUCAAGUCAUCAUGCCCCUUAUGUCCAGGGCUUCACGCAUGCUACAAUGGCUGGUACAGAGAGUGGCGAGCCUGUGAGGGUGAGCGAAUCUCGGAAAGCCGGUCUCAGUUCGGAUUGGGGUCUGCAACUCGACCUCAUGAAGUCGGAGUCGCUAGUAAUCGCAGAUCAGCAACGCUGCGGUGAAUACGUUCCCGGGGCU